GGUUAAGCGACUAAGCGUACACGGUGGAUGCCCUGGCAGUCAGAGGCGAUGAAGGACGUGCUAAUCUGCGAUAAGCGUCGGUGAGGUGAUAUGAACCGUUAUAACCGGCGAUUUCCGAAUGGGGAAACCCAGUGUGUUUCGACACACUAUCAUUAACUGAAUCCAUAGGUUAAUGAGGCGAACCGGGGGAACUGAAACAUCUAAGUACCCCGAGGAAAAGAAAUCAACCGAGAUUCCCCCAGUAGCGGCGAGCGAACGGGGAGCAGCCCAGAGCCUGAAUCAGUGUGUGUGUUAGUGGAAGCGUCUGGAAAGGCGCGCGAUACAGGGUGACAGCCCCGUACACAAAAAUGCACAUACUGUGAGCUCGAUGAGUAGGGCGGGACACGUGGUAUCCUGUCUGAAUAUGGGGGGACCAUCCUCCAAGGCUAAAUACUCCUGACUGACCGAUAGUGAACCAGUACCGUGAGGGAAAGGCGAAAAGAACCCCGGCGAGGGGAGUGAAAAAGAACCUGAAACCGUGUACGUACAAGCAGUGGGAGCCUCUUAAUGGGGUGACUGCGUACCUUUUGUAUAAUGGGUCAGCGACUUAUAUUCUGUAGCAAGGUUAACCGAAUAGGGGAGCCGAAGGGAAACCGAGUCUUAACUGGGCGUUAAGUUGCAGGGUAUAGACCCGAAACCCGGUGAUCUAGCCAUGGGCAGGUUGAAGGUUGGGUAACACUAACUGGAGGACCGAACCGACUAAUGUUGAAAAAUUAGCGGAUGACUUGUGGCUGGGGGUGAAAGGCCAAUCAAACCGGGAGAUAGCUGGUUCUCCCCGAAAGCUAUUUAGGUAGCGCCUCGUGAAUUCAUCUCCGGGGGUAGAGCACUGUUUCGGCAAGGGGGUCAUCCCGACUUACCAACCCGAUGCAAACUGCGAAUACCGGAGAAUGUUAUCACGGGAGACACACGGCGGGUGCUAACGUCCGUCGUGAAGAGGGAAACAACCCAGACCGCCAGCUAAGGUCCCAAAGUCAUGGUUAAGUGGGAAACGAUGUGGGAAGGCCCAGACAGCCAGGAUGUUGGCUUAGAAGCAGCCAUCAUUUAAAGAAAGCGUAAUAGCUCACUGGUCGAGUCGGCCUGCGCGGAAGAUGUAACGGGGCUAAACCAUGCACCGAAGCUGCGGCAGCGACGCUUAUGCGUUGUUGGGUAGGGGAGCGUUCUGUAAGCCUGUGAAGGUGUACUGUGAGGUAUGCUGGAGGUAUCAGAAGUGCGAAUGCUGACAUAAGUAACGAUAAAGCGGGUGAAAAGCCCGCUCGCCGGAAGACCAAGGGUUCCUGUCCAACGUUAAUCGGGGCAGGGUGAGUCGACCCCUAAGGCGAGGCCGAAAGGCGUAGUCGAUGGGAAACAGGUUAAUAUUCCUGUACUUGGUGUUACUGCGAAGGGGGGACGGAGAAGGCUAUGUUGGCCGGGCGACGGUUGUCCCGGUUUAAGCGUGUAGGCUGAUUUUCCAGGCAAAUCCGGAAAACUAAGGCUGAGGCGUGAUGACGAGGCACUACGGUGCUGAAGCAACAAAUGCCCUGCUUCCAGGAAAAGCCUCUAAGCAUCAGGUAACAUCAAAUCGUACCCCAAACCGACACAGGUGGUCAGGUAGAGAAUACCAAGGCGCUUGAGAGAACUCGGGUGAAGGAACUAGGCAAAAUGGUGCCGUAACUUCGGGAGAAGGCACGCUGAUAUGUAGGUGAAGUCCCUCGCGGAUGGAGCUGAAAUCAGUCGAAGAUACCAGCUGGCUGCAACUGUUUAUUAAAAACACAGCACUGUGCAAACACGAAAGUGGACGUAUACGGUGUGACGCCUGCCCGGUGCCGGAAGGUUAAUUGAUGGGGUUAGCGGUAACGCGAAGCUCUUGAUCGAAGCCCCGGUAAACGGCGGCCGUAACUAUAACGGUCCUAAGGUAGCGAAAUUCCUUGUCGGGUAAGUUCCGACCUGCACGAAUGGCGUAAUGAUGGCCAGGCUGUCUCCACCCGAGACUCAGUGAAAUUGAACUCGCUGUGAAGAUGCAGUGUACCCGCGGCAAGACGGAAAGACCCCGUGAACCUUUACUAUAGCUUGACACUGAACAUUGAGCCUUGAUGUGUAGGAUAGGUGGGAGGCUUUGAAGUGUGGACGCCAGUCUGCAUGGAGCCGGCCUUGAAAUACCACCCUUUAAUGUUUGAUGUUCUAACGUUGGCCCCUGAUCGGGGUUGCGGACAGUGUCUGGUGGGUAGUUUGACUGGGGCGGUCUCCUCCUAAAGAGUAACGGAGGAGCACGAAGGUUGGCUAAUCCUGGUCGGACAUCAGGAGGUUAGUGCAAUGGCAUAAGCCAGCUUGACUGCGAGCGUGACGGCGCGAGCAGGUGCGAAAGCAGGUCAUAGUGAUCCGGUGGUUCUGAAUGGAAGGGCCAUCGCUCAACGGAUAAAAGGUACUCCGGGGAUAACAGGCUGAUACCGCCCAAGAGUUCAUAUCGACGGCGGUGUUUGGCACCUCGAUGUCGGCUCAUCACAUCCUGGGGCUGAAGUAGGUCCCAAGGGUAUGGCUGUUCGCCAUUUAAAGUGGUACGCGAGCUGGGUUUAGAACGUCGUGAGACAGUUCGGUCCCUAUCUGCCGUGGGCGCUGGAGAACUGAGGGGGGCUGCUCCUAGUACGAGAGGACCGGAGUGGACGCAUCACUGGUGUUCGGGUUGUCAUGCCAAUGGCACUGCCCGGUAGCUAAAUGCGGAAGAGAUAAGUGCUGAAAGCAUCUAAGCACGAAACUUGCCCCGAGAUGAGUUCUCCCUGACUCCUUGAGGGUCCUGAAGGAACGUUGAAGACGACGACGUUGAUAGGCCGGGUGUGUAAGCGCAGCGAUGCGUUGAGCUAACCGGUACUAAUGAACCGUGAGGCUUAACCUU
RNAcentral lists this ribosomal RNA (2905 nucleotides) under Escherichia coli. RNAcentral's name for it is "23S ribosomal RNA". It matches the Rfam family "Bacterial large subunit ribosomal RNA". Lineage: Bacteria; Pseudomonadati; Pseudomonadota; Gammaproteobacteria; Enterobacterales; Enterobacteriaceae. The record is from RNAcentral.